Molecule: unclassified non-coding RNA, 391 nt
Filed under: soil metagenome
Description: partial contains 5.8S ribosomal RNA, internal transcribed spacer 2, and large subunit ribosomal RNA
Rfam family: 5.8S ribosomal RNA (bases 1-122)
Source: RNAcentral
GAUGAAGAACGUAGCGAAAUGCGAUACUUGGUGUGAAUUGCAGAAUCCCGUGAACCAUCGAGUCUUUGAACGCAAGUUGCGCCCGAAACCACUAGGCCGAGGGCACGCCUGCCUGGGCGUCACACGCCGUUGCCCCCCCAUCUACUCCUUCGGGAUUGCGGGGGGGCGGAUGAUGGCCUCCUGUGCGCCUAGCCGCGCGGUUGGCAUAAAUACCAAGUCCUCGGCGACGCACGCCACGACAAUCGGUGGUUGCGAAACCUCGGUUGCCCGUCGUGUGCGUUCGUCGCGCAUCGAGGGCUCGAAAAAAUGCUCGGCUCCGGCUGGGCUUUCAACGCGACCCCAGGUCAGGCGGGGUUACCCGCUGAAUUUAAGCAUAUCAAUAAGCGGAGGA